RNAcentral lists this long non-coding RNA (1486 nucleotides) under Gossypium barbadense (sea-island cotton). RNAcentral describes it as "long non-coding RNA (GBAR_LNC020665)". Lineage: Eukaryota; Viridiplantae; Streptophyta; Magnoliopsida; Malvales; Malvaceae. The record is from RNAcentral.
CCUCUGAUUACUCGAUAGGACAUUGGAAGUGUACAAAGUAUUUGUGAUGGGUCAGCUGUUGUGGAGAUAGUAGUACCAGCCAUUCAAAACUAAUUACAUGACUAAUCCAACCGUUCAAAAUUAACAUUUACAAGUGUUCUAACUAUUGCUGAAAAAUCAUCGCCUUCAUCAAAAUUGUGCACAUGAAUAAUCGGGUCAUGUCCCCUCUCUGGACUUGAUUUUGUAGCAUAGGGCGGCCAUUCUUCGACGGACUGUCAUUAAUACACAUCAUCCAAACCAUUAAUUAUAACCAAUAACAUGCACUUUAUUCCAAACAUUAAUUUAUGUAAAUAGGUUAAUAUAAUUUUUGUAUCAAAUCAUAGGACCAUCAUUUAAGAUAUGUCCAUAGGUCGGGCCAACUAAAAUUUUAGACUUGUUUGUUACGCCUGGGCUCAACCUAAAAAAUUGGUUUAGAAUUUUACUUAAGGUUGCCCGAAUAAAAAUGUUAAAAUUCAGGUUUAAAUUAAUUUUUAUAUUAUUUUUUUAUAUAUAUAUUAAAAAUAUAAUACAUCAAAAAUACUAAAAAUGUUAAAAUAAAUAUUUCUCAACAAAUUAAAAAUAAAUUAAAAAUAUGUAUAUUUAAAUAACAUUAAUAUAGGUGCAACUUAACAAGCAAAAGUCUCUAAAAUAUUAACAAAAUUAACAAUAAAACAAGAGUUAUACAAUAUCAACAAAAUAGUAGCAAUAUAAUAAUGAAAUAGCAAAAUAGUGAAAACCAACAAAAAUAUAACAACAAAACAGUAAAAAAAUAGUAAGAAAAUAAUUUAAAAAACAGCAGCCUUUUUUUUUGCAUAUUCGGGUCGGGUUGGGCUCGGGGGCCACUCGAGGCCUGACUUGUUUUCUAAACGGGUCUUAUUUUUGUACCCAAGCCUAAUUUUUGAGCUUAUAUUUUUAUCCAAACCUUCUCACUUUUUAGAUGAACAUUUGAGCUAAGCCGAGUGACCCGACCCAUGGGUCUACUCUAUAUGCUUUGUUUCAAUCACCAGCAAUAAUACUACGUAUAAGAAAAUUAGGCUAAGGAGGAACGACUUUGCAUGCAUGCAUAUAUAAUAAAUGAAAAAUUGAAACCAGAAAAAAUAAAAUUAAAAAAAAAAAAGGGAAAGGGAAAGGAAUCAAAGGAUAUAUAUAUUAUAAAAAGCUUUGAUAGCUGAGAAGUGGGGAAUUCUUGGUUGAACAAAAGGAGGCCAUGAGCUCAUCAAUGAUAAAAUUAGUAGAGAGGAUAUAAUGAUAGUAUGGACUCUUCAUUGUUUACAGUUUGUAAUAAAAUUAAUCAAACUUAGGAAUACAAGAAGACGAAACCUUAUUAUAUGAUUGGAGUGGAAAUGAAACACAUUUAUUCGCCAUUUCCUUAUCCCCCGUUCAACACUCUACGGCGACUUCCCCCCUCCAAUGCCUUCCCUUUUUUCUGUUUUGUUUUUUUUUAAAGAUUUUCUUUAUUAAUUUUUUU